Molecule: long non-coding RNA, 2820 nt
Organism: Acinonyx jubatus (cheetah)
Lineage: Eukaryota; Metazoa; Chordata; Mammalia; Carnivora; Felidae
Exons: 2
Source: RefSeq, a predicted model, not a curated record
CCAGAAUGCGUGCGAAACAGUCUCGGUCCAAUCGUUGGCGAGAUCGAAAGGGCUGUGGGCGGGGCUUUCUGUUCGGCGUAGCCAGUCGCGAGACGGCCCGCCGGACAAGGCCCACAGGCCACAACAAGUGAGGCUUCCUCACCUGGGAGCCAGCGCUCCGGAGGCCUGAAAUAUACUGUAGGUACUCAGUAAAUGUUUUUUGAGGGCACAAAAUAAAGGUAGGUCAGAACAAAUGUUUACCCUGCUAAGUGCCCUUUGGUUUGCAUAUACCUAAGGUCUAGUACUUUACCACGUACUGUCAUGUUCGUUUCUCCCAGCAACCUCAGGCGAUGGUGAGGAGUCUUGUGCCCAUUUUUAAUAAAUCAGGAAAUCAAGUACAGAGCGAUUAAGUAAUUUGCCUAAAGUCACAAAGCUAACUAGUGGCGUAGCAGGAUUGGAACCGGGAUCUGAGAACCAGCGCCAGUCCCUCGCCUGUGAGGCGAGUUUACUGGAAGAGACAUGAUUAUAAAUUACAAGAUAAUUGUGUGCAAAAUGCAGUAGGAGCCAGAGAAAGGAAAACUACACCUUGGAGAGGGAUAGGGAAGGGCAUAAUUCAAAGAAGGCUUCACAGAAACUUAAAGACAAGAGGUACCUGUGGCCUAGUACCUGCUAGUCUCCACCCCUGGGCUGGCAGGGAGUGCAAAUUAACUCUCCCUGUUAUCUAGAGGUCAUACUUCUGGUUAAUUAUCAAUAAGAGAAAAAAGUCCCACCCUAUUUAGGGACAAGAAUAUCCAGUCCCCUCCUCCAAACAUUGCUGGAAUCCUUUUCUGGCCCCACAAAUCCAUCCCUGACUACACUUGACCUUUACCUCUGAUUUAGUUAAGGCCAGACUUCAGGCUUCCUUGAACUUAACACAGGCACUCCCCAUUACAGCCUCAUCCUGUACUCAAUAAAGUGUUCUGGAAUUCUGGUGCAAGAUACCACCUAGAGCUCCAGAACCACCUGUGGCUAUCACCACUCUGGCUUGGGCAUAUGGGAGGCAGUUCCUAGAGAGUGGAACCAAAUCCUAAAUGUGGACAUAGGCCCCUUCCUUAAUUCUCCAAAACACAGUUAACACCAGACUGGUUUUUUUUUUUAAUUUUUUUAAAUGUUUAUUUAUUUCUUGAGAGAGACACAGACAGAAUGUGAGUGGGUUAGGAGCAGAAAGAGAGGGAGACACAGAAUGCGAAGCAGGCCCCAGGCUCCAAGCCAUCAGCACAGAGCCCGACGCGGGGCUCGAACCCGCGAGCUGUGAGAUCAUGACCUGAGUCGAAGUCGGACGCUCAACCGACUGAGCCACCCAGGCACCCCAACACCAGACUGUUAAUGAAAGUUUGAGAAUAGAAAGACUAGAAGUUUUGUGGUUUUUUUUUUUUUAAGAAACUGUUUCAUUUCCAUCAACCCUAUUCCAUUUUGUUUGCCGUUGUAGAAAAGCAGCUUAAGACCACUCGGUGUUGUUCCUAUCCAUUCAGUGGUCUAAGCAGUGGGAGCUGCAGAACAGUCUUCACUGGCAGGCUGAGCACUCCAGUCUUCAGUAGAGGACUGCUGAAUAGGCAUAGAGGGCACCUGCACACCUUCAGUUCAGUCUGCAACUUCAGGUUGAGUAGCAGUGAACUCAGGAAGCUGCUCUUCCUUUUCAAUCUCUUCAAGAUCUCUGUAGAAGAAGAGACAGGUGUACUGUUCCAUUUGGAAGUCAAGGUUAGUGCCACUUAAGUGGGUUCCUGCUGCAAGGAAUUCGAGGACAUCCUCCUUCAUUUGCAGGCCAUGAUGGGCUCUGAACAUUGUGAAAGUUUGCUUUAAGCUAUGAUGGGAAUGUAGAACAAGACCACUGUGUGGCCCCUCUCUGGGUAAUUUGGAAAGCAAAGACCAGAAGAUUUAGAAGUGGCUAUUAUCAUCCGUAGUCCAUUGCUCAUUGCCUCCCAGAAGGACUUUACUCCCCUCAAGGUCAUCUCUCCACUCUUUUACAAGCCACCAACAGAAGAGAAUUUUCUCUCCACCUCUACUCCAACCUAUUUCAGGCUGGACUCCCAGUUAACUUAAAAAAUAGUCUACCAUGGCAUUAUUAUGCACAGCACUUGAGCUGUGUCCCAUGUGUCCAUUCCACUAUAAAAAAUGGCCUUUGCCUUCACUGAACCAAAAGGAACACUCAAGCAUUGCAAAGGGAUUUUCGGAGACAAAAGAGCACUCUCUGUUCAAAACAUAAAUGGGAAAACUGCAAGGUGCUUUAGAAUAGCAGCGUAUUCAGGUUUGGGCCACCAAGAUUUAAGAAAGAUUGACACCAAGUCUCAGGCCACUCCAGUACAACACAUUUUUUUUUCCUCCCUCACUAAUAGCACCUGCGCAUACCUAAUGCUGAAAUGUUAGACCCCCUCUAUGAAAAGUGGAGGGCUUUGGAAUUACCUCAGUCGAAUCUCUGGGCCUCAUCAGGAAGCAAUAACUCUUGAGUGCAGCAACUGCCAGCCACCGCCUGCACCUGACAUUUCGCCACUUGGUGCACUCGCUGUCCUAUCAUCCCCAGGAGAGGCAUGGGCCGAUACCCAUCCAGUGGUCAAGGAGUGGAACCACGCUUACUCCAAACCCACCACUGUUGCACCCAUUCCUGGACUCAGGAACUCUUCACCAGAGGGCUAGAGGAGAAAACCAAAGCCAUAUGAAGAAAUAAGGACAUUGAGGUUUGGAUAACUUGCACCCGUGUACUGUUGGAGGGGCACAUCCUCAUUGCUUAAGUUUUCAUUAGGCUAUCCUAAACGAUUGCCCAGUUUUCUGAAAAACAAUAUGACAACAAAAACUUUGUUGACAAAA